This 489-nucleotide ribosomal RNA is filed under the name uncultured Spirochaeta sp. RNAcentral describes it as "bacterial SSU rRNA". It matches the Rfam family "Bacterial small subunit ribosomal RNA", at positions 894 to 1382 of the family's 1533-position model. The record is from RNAcentral. Lineage: Bacteria; Pseudomonadati; Spirochaetota; Spirochaetia; Spirochaetales; Spirochaetaceae.
CAGAAACUACAAAGGAAGUUGACGGGGCCCGCACAAGCGGUGGAGCAUGUGGUUUAAUUCGAUGAUACGCGAGGAACCUUACCAGGGCUUGACAUACACUGGAAUGGGCGUGAAAGCGUCCAGCCCCUCGGGGCCGGUGUACAGGUGCUGCAUGGCUGUCGUCAGCUCGUGCUGUGAAGUGUUGGGUUAAGUCCCACAACGAGCGCAACCCCUGCUAUCUGUUGCCAGCAAGUAAUGUUGGGGACUCAGAUGGAACUGCCGGUGACAAACCGGAGGAAGGUGGGGACGACGUCAAGUCGUCAUGGCCCUUAUGUCCUGGGCUACACACGUGCUACAAUGGCCGGUACAGAGCGCAGCGAAGCCGCGAGGCAAAGCGAAUCGCAAAAAGCCGGUCUCAGUACGGAUUGGAGUCUGAAACUCGACUCCAUGAAGUUGGAAUCGCUAGUAAUCGCGCAUCAGCAUGGCGCGGUGAAUACGUUCCCGGGCCUU